ACUUAUAAACUGAUUUACAUUUCAAGACAUAAUCUGAAGCAUCACUUGGAAUCUCAUCCUCUUCGGGUAUAGAAUUAUUCUGCUUAAGAUCUGAUUCUGCAACGACCUUCUCAGACAAAUAACUUUCACCAUCAAACUUGGUGUCCUUUAGAGUUGUAACAUCUUCAUCACUCGUUGGAAGACCUGAUGAGUCAAGAUUAACUUCAUUGAAAGAGCUAUCUUCACUCUCAUAUCCCGAAGAAGAUUCAUUUCCCCCUGUCAGACGAGCAACACCAUCAUCCUCUUCCUUUACGUCACUGUCAUCCUGCUCUUCCUCUUCCUCUUCCUCCUCU
Molecule: unclassified non-coding RNA, 332 nt
Filed under: Hevea brasiliensis (rubber tree)
Lineage: Eukaryota; Viridiplantae; Streptophyta; Magnoliopsida; Malpighiales; Euphorbiaceae
Source: RNAcentral